UUUAUCGCAGCAUAUAAUAUAUACAUUUAGUCCUACGUCACCAUUUCAUACAACCCCUUAGGGCUAUAUACCUUGUAGUAUUUUUAAAACAGGUAUAUGAUUACCUGUGGCGUAAAAAAUCGUGUAAAAAAGACCUUACUGUAUUAACAUUAGCAUGCAAUAAGAAGAAACUGAGUCGCUUUUAAAAACGCACGCCAAAACAGACAGACAGACAUACAUUUGCAUUCAUAGCUAUAGAUAAUUCAUCACGGAGAAAUCUUCGAAUAAACAUCAAUCGAGACGAAAAAACAACCUAAAUAGUCGCAGAAUACUACGUUUUCGGUAUAAAAAAAUCUAUCAUUUUAUAUCCUUAAUUUAAAGGCUGUAGAAUUUUUCCGUCCUGUUUGCGUAACUACUAUUUUUUCGGAUGUAAAAAAAAAUUCUUAGAAAGCUUUUACGAUACGCAAGAGGAAACAUUGCAUUCAAAAAUCCGACAAAAUAUGUUGCCUUACAGCUGGUAUGAAACAGCAAAACCUGGCAAACAUUUGAUUAGCUGCCUUUGUCUAGGUGUUCCGACAUUCUAAAUGAAAUGCAAUUAAUGAACGAGAAAUUAUAACUCUCUAAACUUAGCAUUUAAUUGGUCCUGAAAAGGACAAUUUGUUGAUGUGAUGUUGAUCGCAUCUCUGUGCUAUUCCUGACAGUAGAAAUCAGGCACUCUUCUGGUAACACAGUGGAAAGCUGGUGUCACACUGAAAAUUCGACGGCCGACAAAUUUUGAUUGCCAGCAUCCCAAAAACGUGUGUGUGUUGCCAAAUUACGGCAGAACUUCUCUGCCGGAGUAAGUACUUGCCAAAGCACCUACUACUGAUGCUACCCCUACCGUACAAAGGCAGCCUCUACUAGAGGCCGCAGCGAAUGUGAAUGCCCACGGUCCAUACAAAACUUUGUGGAUGUGGAUGGCCCCUAUUAGUAUUUUUAAACCAUUCUUAUGCAAAACUGUUGAUGGUAGCUCAAAGAUGCGCGAGAACCUAUUUCCCAUCACCUAUCAUUGUCUAUUAUUAUUUUAAGAAAGGUUUAAUCACAGACAAACAGACGUGCCACUCGAUGACGAUUUCAUCGACCAGAAAAAUAACGAUUAUUUUGAAAUUUUGCUUAGUGGGCAAUAAUGCCGCUGGUGUCGCUACUGGUAUAUUUGGACAAUUUUUUUUCCAAAAAAACUGGCAGCACGAUCACACCGUUUUUUUGUUAGCAUAACAACGUUAAGAUGGGUCGAAAGUGUGAGAUGGUUAUGUGCCCAAACAGAGAAGGAAAAACUAGUGGAUAAUCCUUUUUCGAAUUUCCGCAUAUAUCGGAGAGGUAAGUAAUUUGAAAAUUUAUAACAAGUAGAAUUCAUAAUAACCCGAAGUUGCCCUGCCUGGGUGUGAGCUGUGGGUGAAACUCUGUGGCUCUUCCGAGCUGUCUUCCAAAUUUGAUGCUGAUGGCGUUCAAGCGAUGCGCAAACAUAAAAUAUGUUCAGAUCAUUUUCCAGUAUUUAUGCUAAAAACCCUCUCCAAUCGAGUACAGGGUAAAUAUAGUGUUUUCAAAUUUCCUCUAAUGGAAAUAAUAGUUGAAAAUUUCAGGCUUCUUAGCAAUGCUGCGCCAUUAGUAUCCGUAGUGCAAUCGGGAGAUACAAAUAGUGAGGAGCAGUAUUUAGGUAUCCUAGAAAUUGAGCCCGAUGAAGCAGAAGGUCUGGUCUCGAGAGAAGAACCAAAGUAUAAAAUUCAUAUAAAAAAAUACAUCCACUUACGUACUUUUUCAUAGUUUUAACUGCAGCGUAAUACAGUGCCGAAAUACUGAAAAUAGUAGAGUAAAAUCAGCUGAUGAGCAAGUUAAUAAUAUUGAAAAUUUUGAUUGGUUGACCGUCGAAAAACAACCUGAACCAUAUGUCAUCCAAAGAAAACCCAAGUUAAUAAAACUAGAGAUCAGCCCAACAACUGAAGAUACUGAACUUGUUUUAUCUCACGAACGAUCACAAUGUAUGAGGGUAAGUUUUUCCUUAUGUAAAAUUCUAUCUGUUAAUAUCGACGCUAUCGGAUACGUGAAAAAGUCGACUAACAAGUCAGUCACCAUACGUUCCACACAAGCCCGGGGGAGAUUUGUAGUUUCAGUAGGGUUUUUACUAGGGUUGCUGUCUGAGUAGUCCAACCCUAGUGUCGAAUAUGACAAUGCUUUGCGUUCGUUUUUCAUAUUAUUGUUCAGAUACAUUUUCUUUAUAUAUUGCAGAAAGAUUAUGCCCUCCCGCAUGAGGGCUUUUCGUCGUAUGGUUACACAGAAACAACAAGCGUUGCUGGAUGUGACAAUAAGGUGCCAUACGAUUACAAGUUACUGUAUGAGAGAGAAAAAAAAUAUUCAAAUCGACUUCGAUAUAGAAUAAAUAAGCUUAAAAGAGAAUUACGUAAUACUCAUCGUAAGAAGCGGUGGCGAAUAAAAUCAGCAAAGCAAAUGCGAAAUACCGUUAGCGCUUUGCGAACGGAGCUUGGGCACCUCAGACGAACAAAAAAAGAGGAAUCCAACAUUUUGAAUUUUACGGAUUCCCUUAUACAGGAACUCAGAAAAAGAUCGAAAGAAACAAAACUGAAGCCAUUGUUACAAUGGUUUCUGGAUUAGGCCCUCUAAGUCCGAACAAAUUUAAAAAUGACACCGCUAGUCGUUCUGGACGUUUCAAGCAGGCAAUUGGUUAUAUGUUGGCUCAUCAUUCACUAGAAACUACUAAACAACUGAAUAUGAUUGCAAAUGCCGUACAAGCUCUAAAAGGUCGUGGAUUAUAUCCAUUGGCGUUGAUUCUAGACCAGUGUACAACGAAUGUUAAAAUGAUUCACGAAGCCGGAGCAGUUGCAGGAAGCCAAUAAUCAUGAUAGACAGUGCAGAAAUUGCAGUAUUUUAUGAUAAUCCACAUCUUAUUAAAAUCACGAAAAGUAUGCUAUCGAAACACAAUGCAGUUUUUAAAGGAAAAAUUGCAUCCUUUAGUCAUAUUCGACAACUGUAUCUGAAAGAUCAAAUAUGUGUACCGAGAUUAGUGCCAAAGCUCACCGAGAAAUUGAUAAAUCCUCGCCCAUUUAUGGCUAUGAAUGUAGUUCAAGCCACACGGACGUUAAGUCACUCUGUCGCAGUGGGUCUAGAAUACUACGCAUUGUCUGGGGAUCUACCUUUAUCUGCAUUGACAACAGCUUCAUUCGUAAAUCGACAAAAGUACUGCCAAGCCUUUUCGACGUAGUAUAACUCAAAGUUCUUACCAUUGGGAAUUUCUCAAAGAAGCUAAAGAAAUAUUGACGAAUAUGCAUUACACAGCUAACACAUGCUUUGACGAAAAAUUUGUAAGUGGUAUUGCUCAUCAUUUUAUGAUACAAUUCAUAAACCAAAACAAACAACAUAUAACAAAAAAUAUAAUGUGUUCGAAUAAUAUUCAUUCUAAAUAAACUUAUAAGUUUCUAAUUGGUUUCAUAUGAAUUUAAAGGCGGAUCGUGAUUCAAAAAAAAUUGACGGUUAAGCAAAGGAAACCCAACUGUCUCAGUGGAUUUAUUGGAAAUAUAAACGCUCUGAUUUGGUUAUGGAAGCAAUUAAAAACUGGUUACUUCUUCGACAGCUUACGUACAAAUUACCUUUACCAGGACGUAAUCGAAAAUCUUUUCUCUGAAAUAAGAAGACGAUGUGGUCGAAACGAUGCACCGAAUGCUUAUCAAUUCGGGUCUGCAUUUAAAUAUGCUACUAUUUCAGCAAAUGAGAAACUAGCGACAGGUACAAAUUGUGAAAAUGACAGAGCCGAUGUUCUAAUAACUCAAGAAGAUUUAGAGCGUGAAGAAUAUACACAGAAAACUGAGCUGCAAUCCUGCUUCAUUUAUAAAUUUUCGCCCCUAAAUAUUCAAUCCAACAAAAUGUAUACUUAAAAAGAACUGAACGGAGUAAUGUACAUCACCGGUGCUGCUGUGGCAAAAAUUGAACACAAAAAAUGUAAAAAAUAUAUGACCUUCAAACGCGACAACGUCGCAGUAAACAACCCGUUUUACGAACUAUGCAAAUUAAAGGGUACGUCAACCUUUCCCAGUACACAAUCUUUUGAAACAGGACUCCUGUGUUUUAAUGCAUUCAAGCAAAAAUUCGCCAAAUUCCUUUAUCAGAAUAGAAGGAACGUUAAAACCAGACUUAUCAAGUAUAUACCAUAUGAAGAUAUAAAGGAGUUUAUGU
Long non-coding RNA from Wyeomyia smithii (pitcher-plant mosquito), 4200 nucleotides. RefSeq lists it as uncharacterized. The record is from RefSeq and is a predicted model, not a curated record. The transcript has 3 exons. Lineage: Eukaryota; Metazoa; Arthropoda; Insecta; Diptera; Culicidae.